This 842-nucleotide ribosomal RNA is filed under the name delta proteobacterium SCGC AAA240-B22. RNAcentral describes it as "SSU rRNA". It matches the Rfam family "Bacterial small subunit ribosomal RNA", at positions 32 to 889 of the family's 1533-position model. The record is from RNAcentral. Lineage: Bacteria; Deltaproteobacteria.
GACGCUGGCGGCAUGCCUAACACAUGCAAGUCGAACGAGAAAGUCACUUCGGUGGUGAUUAAAGUGGCGCACGGGUGAGUAACGCGUAGACAAUCUGCCCUUCAGUCUGGGACAACUUUUCGAAAGGAGAGCUAAUACCGGAUAACAAUGUUUGACAUAAGUUAAAUAUUUGAAAGCUUUAUGUGCUGAAGGAGGAGUCUGCGUCCCAUUAGCUAGUUGGUGAGGUAAAGGCUUACCAAGGCAACGAUGGGUAGCGGGUUUGAGAGGACGAUCCGUCACACUGGAACUGAGACACGGUCCAGACUCCUACGGGAGGCAGCAGUGGGGAAUAUUGCACAAUGGAGGAAACUCUGAUGCAGCAAUGUCGCGUGAGUGAAGAAGGCCCUUGGGUCGUAAAGCUCUUUUAUGGGGGAAGAUGAUGACGGUACCCCAGGAAUAAGCACCGGCUAACUACGUGCCAGCAGCCGCGGUAAUACGUAGGGUGCGAGCGUUGUUCGGAAUUACUGGGCGUAAAGGGCGCGCAGGCGGAAUAGCAAGUCGGAGGUGAAAGCCCGGGGCUCAACCCCGGAGGGUCUUUCGAAACUGCUAAUCUAGAGAGGGUCAGGGGCCAGCAGAAUUCCUGGUGUAGAGGUGAAAUUCGUAGAUAUCAGGAGGAAUACCGGUGGCGAAAGCGGCUGGCUGGGGCCACUCUGACGCUGAGGCGCGAAAGCGUGGGGAGCAAACGGGAUUAGAUACCCCGGUAGUCCACGCCGUAAACGAUGAGCACUGGACGUCCGGAGGGUUCGACCCUUCUGGGUGUUUCAGCUAACGCAUUAAGUGCUCCGCCUGGGGAGUACGGUCGC